Molecule: non-coding RNA, 747 nt
Organism: Camelina sativa (false flax)
Lineage: Eukaryota; Viridiplantae; Streptophyta; Magnoliopsida; Brassicales; Brassicaceae
Source: RefSeq, a predicted model, not a curated record
AAAAAAAAAAAAAAAAAUCGAAUAUACGCCAUAGAUACGAAUACUUUGAUGAUGACGAAAACAAAAACAAUGGGAUUUUUAAAUUUUAGGUUCUUCGAAUUUUUUUUUUUUACGAUGUGUUGGUUUUUUCGUGAAGAGAAAGAAUUAAAUUUUUUCCUAUACAAAUUUCCGGUCGAGGACGUAACCGGCGGAGAUAAUUAAAUUUAGACGGGAGAAUAUGACCGAAAACGUUAGUGAUUGCACGUACGACGUUGUUCUUUUUGGUUAUACGGUUGAUACGUGGCGAAUACUGAGAGAACCAUCUCGUGUCAAUGUCGAGGAUGUGGACACGUCUGUAAACUGGUGGAUUAGUUACCUCAACACGUGUCAGCUUUUCACACGAAACGAGGAUUAGAUUACUCUUUCACACGGAGUUCUUUUGUUUAUUCCAUCCAUAUUACGUUAAGAGUCCCACUUGGCGAAAAAAUUGGGGAAAAAGGACCAUCAGAUAUAUUGAAACUGAAAAAAAUACGAAAGGAAAAGAAAAUUGUUAGUCGGCCUAUUUUAGUUGACUUCCAAAUUAUGCGCAACUUGUGAAUGGGACAGACUGAGGAAGACUUGAGAGAAUGAGGAAUUUGGUGAGCAACUUGUCCCAUUCUUUGUUAAUUUUAAAAACUUGGGACUCCACAAAAAAAUAAAAUUAUUAGAAGUUGUUCAAUGAUAUUAUACUAAUACAUAAAUCACUUUUGGAGUAGUAGCACCACAUAA